This 499-nucleotide ribosomal RNA is filed under the name uncultured Glomeromycotina. RNAcentral's name for it is "partial small subunit ribosomal RNA". It matches the Rfam family "Eukaryotic small subunit ribosomal RNA", at positions 591 to 1092 of the family's 1831-position model. The record is from RNAcentral. Lineage: Eukaryota; Fungi; Glomeromycota.
CCAAUAGCGUAUAUUAAAGUUGUUGCAGUUAAAAAGCUCGUAGUUGAAUUUCGGGAUCAAUAUAUUGGUCAUGCUUAGGUAUGUACUGGUAUUAUUGAUUUCUCCCUUCUGAAGAACCAUAAUGUCAUUAAUUUGAUGUCAUGGGGAAUCAGGACUGUUACUUUGAAAAAAUUAGAGUGUUUAAAGCAGGCUUUCGCUUGAAUACAUUAGCAUGGAAUAAUGAAAUAGGACGUUUGAUUCUAUUUUGUUGGUUUCUAGGAUCGACGUAAUGAUUAAUAGGGAUAGUUGGGGGCAUUAGUAUUCAAUUGUCAGAGGUGAAAUUCUUGGAUUUAUUGAAGACUAACUACUGCGAAAGCAUUUGCCAAGGAUGUUUUCAUUAAUCAAGAACGAAAGUUAGGGGAUCGAAGACGAUCAGAUACCGUCGUAGUCUUAACCAUAAACUAUGCCGACUAGGGAUCGGAUGAUGUUAAUUUUUUAAUGACUCAUUCGGCGCCUUACG